This 405-nucleotide ribosomal RNA is filed under the name uncultured bacterium. RNAcentral's name for it is "bacterial SSU rRNA". It matches the Rfam family "Bacterial small subunit ribosomal RNA", at positions 355 to 774 of the family's 1533-position model. The record is from RNAcentral.
UGGGGAAUAUUGGGCAAUGGGCGAAAGCCUGACCCAGCAACGCCGCGUGAAGGAAGAAGGUCUUCGGAUUGUAAACUUCUUUUAUGAGGGACGAAGGACGUGACGGUACCUCAUGAAUAAGCCACGGCUAACUACGUGCCAGCAGCCGCGGUAAUACGUAGGUGGCAAGCGUUAUCCGGAUUUACUGGGUGUAAAGGGCGCGUAGGCGGGGAUGCAAGUCAGAUGUGAAAUCUAUGGGCUUAACCCAUAAACUGCAUUUGAAACUGUAUCUCUUGAGUGCUGGAGAGGUAGAUGGAAUUCCUUGUGUAGCGGUGAAAUGCGUAGAUAUAAGGAAGAACACCAGUGGCGAAGGCGAUCUACUGGACAGUAACUGACGCUGAGGCGCGAAAGCGUGGGGAGCAAACA